UCUCCCUACGGGGCGCAGCAGUGAGGAAUAUUGGUCAAUGGCCGGAAGGCUGAACCAGCCAAGUCGCGUGAGGGAAUAAGGCCCUAUGGGUCGUAAACCUCUUUUGUCAGGGAGCAAAGGCGUCCACGUGUGGACGAGAGGAGAGUACCUGAAGAAAAAGCAUCGGCUAACUCCGUGCCAGCAGCCGCGGUAAUACGGAGGAUGCGAGCGUUAUCCGGAUUCAUUGGGUUUAAAGGGUGCGCAGGCGGGCCUUUAAGCCGGCGGUGAAAUCGCGGGG
This 277-nucleotide ribosomal RNA is filed under the name uncultured bacterium. RNAcentral's name for it is "partial 16S ribosomal RNA". It matches the Rfam family "Bacterial small subunit ribosomal RNA", at positions 334 to 607 of the family's 1533-position model. The record is from RNAcentral.